CCUACGGGGGGCAGCAGUGGGGAAUAUUGGACAAUGGGCGAAAGCCUGAUCCAGCCAUGCCGCGUGUGUGAAGAAGGCCUUCGGGUUGUAAAGCACUUUCAGUGGGGAAGAAAGCCUUGGGGCUAAUACCCUCGAGGAAGGACAUCACCCACAGAAGAAGCACCGGCUAACUCCGUGCCAGCAGCCGCGGUAAUACGGAGGGUGCGAGCGUUAAUCGGAAUUACUGGGCGUAAAGCGCGCGUAGGCGGUCUGAUAAGCCGGUUGUGAAAGCCCCGGGCUCAACCUGGGAACGGCAUCCGGAACUGUCAGGCUAGAGUGCAGGAGAGGAAGGUAGAAUUCCCGGUGUAGCGGUGAAAUGCGUAGAGCUCGGGAGGAAUACCAGUGGCGAAGGCGGCCUUCUGGACUGACACUGACGCUGCGGUGCGAAAGCGUGGGUAGCAAACAGGAUUAGAUACCCUAGUAGUC
This 465-nucleotide ribosomal RNA is filed under the name Vreelandella stevensii. Its description in RNAcentral is "partial 16S ribosomal RNA". It matches the Rfam family "Bacterial small subunit ribosomal RNA", at positions 338 to 795 of the family's 1533-position model. Lineage: Bacteria; Pseudomonadati; Pseudomonadota; Gammaproteobacteria; Oceanospirillales; Halomonadaceae. The record is from RNAcentral.